Molecule: ribosomal RNA, 120 nt
Filed under: Ochotona princeps (American pika)
Lineage: Eukaryota; Metazoa; Chordata; Mammalia; Lagomorpha; Ochotonidae
Source: RNAcentral
GUCUAUGGCCAUACCACCCUGAACAUGCCCGAUCUCAUCUGAUCUCGGAAGCUAAGCAGGGUCAGGUCUGGUUAGCACUUGGGUGGGAGAAUCGCUUUAUAUUCCCACCAGCAAUAGAUG